This 1592-nucleotide long non-coding RNA is filed under the name Canis lupus familiaris (dog). Its description in RNAcentral is "lncRNA (ENSCAFG00000050620.1, ENSCAFG00805017423.1, ENSCAFG00845021619.1)". The record is from RNAcentral. Lineage: Eukaryota; Metazoa; Chordata; Mammalia; Carnivora; Canidae.
UGUGACACCUUCAUCCUCUCCUUAGCCUUUCAUCUGUUUUGUCUUCUGAAUAUACAGUAUGGAGCCUCUACUACUCAAAAGGCUGAUUUUGGUUUAAAUCAUCUUUCAGGUACUUCCCAACUCUAAAACUAUGAUUCUAGGCCACAUAAUGGGGUAUUUUUAAAGUUGCUUCUACUUAAUUCUCUUUCCCUUUUUAAUGGUUCAUUUCAUACUGAGAGCUCUUGCCAAAAGAGAAUUGUUAAGCAUCCAUUUCCUGGGUCACCUGUAGGCUUGGUUCUCUUACCGAUUUAAGUGAGAAGAAAAAUUGUAUAGACAAGCAAAUGAGGGCAUUUUUCUAAAUGCCUCCUGGUAGUUAACCACUGAACACUUAUGUGCAACGUGUGGUAUACAUGACUUAAGGAGCCUAGUAAUAAGUAAACAGAACCUUCCCAAGCAAAAUUCCAACUGUGGCUUUAAACAAACAUGGACAUUAUUAUUAUUUACUCUAUUGAAUGUAAACUUGGAACUGAGAGGGGAAUUUUUUAUGCACUGGGUAAAUAAACUGUUAAGCUAGAUGACAUCUAAGGGGGGGUCUGAGUGAAUCACAGUCCUGUUCCUAAAACACAUUUCACAUACUAAUCAUAGUCAAAUACCUGAUGAGGUUACAAAAUCUAGGGUACCUAAUAAGGAUUUACAUUUUGAGACUGUUGUGACAGCCCAUAUUUCUCAGAAUUAUUUUGACACUUGAAUCUAUUCCAAGGUGUUGCUAUACAGGGUGUGUGACAGAAGGAUAUACAUACAGAAGCUGGUGCUGACUUACUGUACAUUUUUAACUACAAAAGCUUUACACCCAGUAUUGACAGUGAAGUAAGUUUCUAAAACUGAAAAGUCUCAAUCAAAGGAGAUCGCUGAACAGGUUUGUUUUUUAAUUCUCUUUUGUUUUUAAAGCCAAAAAAUUACACAAAACUUACUGUUACUACAAAUAGCAACUUUUUAAGAAAGCACACAUGUAUUACCACAGUAAAAGGGUUUCCUUUAAAAAAUGCAGAACUGGUAAACAUAAAACCUUUCCAUGCUUGAAUUGACAACUGUUUGGGGAAUAUACAUUGAAUGGCAUUGAUUAAUGGAGUAAAGUUUCCUUACCACUUGGGGAUUCUGUGAAAUUAUGUUCUAUUUCCUGUUGACCCAGCGAUACAGAUUAACAUCACUUGAUGCUAACUUCUCCAUAAAGGUACAAAAUGAAAAUAUCUUUUUUUCCCUUCACCUCUUCAAAUUAAAAAUACCUAAUAUUAAAAAUCUUUUAUGCACCACAGUUGCAGGUUUUUAGGCAGGAAAAUGUCCAAAUACAUGUUAGAAUCUAAAACUGACUGAAAAUAGGACACAGACAUCCAAGUAACCAGACAGUCUGUGUUUAAAAAAACUUUUAAAUUACUUUUAAAAUGUUUUGAUAUACCUAAUUUUUCAAAUAUUUUAUGCUGUUAAAAUAUCUAUUGCAUACUUUUUAUAUACGUAUUUUUAAAUUUUAAAAAGUUAAGGAAGUGUGCUGAGAUGGUGUAAUUUUAGACGUCCAGUUGCCAGGACAUUCAACUAGAUUCCCAAUCACCUCAUUCAAA